CAAAGCAUGCUAUUAUUGCUUCUCGUUUCUUUCUCGCCUGUUCUCGCUGGACUCCCUCUGCACCAGGGCAGAGAGUAAGGAGGUCAGCAGAACCAAGGAGGGUGGGGACUCAGACAUUCCCAGUUCCACUGGGAGCUUUUAUGCAGCAGGAAGCUGGAAGCCAGGAGGAGUGUUUGUAAGAAGCAGGUGACCUGACAUAGAAAUCCCCAGGUGCAGCGAUCCUGGCACACACAGUAUAGCUGCAGCCCAGGAAGAAAGGCUGCGCAGCCCACUGCUUAAAGCCCCCAAGCUGGCUCCCGCUGGUUUAAUUUCACGUAGCGACAUUAUUGAUACUUGGGUGACCUUGGGACAAAUCCCUUUACCCGUCUACACCUCCAUCUUCCCAUCGGCAAAAGGUGAUGAUAACUCUUCCAUCGGUUACUGUGAAGAUGCAACGAACACACACGAAGAGAGCAAAAGAGCCAUGACCCAUAACUGAACCUCUCCGUUCCUCUGGCCACCCUCCCGCCCCGUGCCCUGUGUUAGCAACCUCAGGUUCUGCUCUUGGGGCAGAGGCAGACACAGCCUGUUUCCCUGGGAGCCAUCACCUUGGCCUCCCAUUCCCUGGAGCCCCAGGCAAUGACACUUUCGUCCCAUAGGACUUAAGCAGAGCUCAGCAGUCCCUAGCAGGGUCCUCUCUGCUGCCAGACAGGAGGUACCCUUGUCCCCCCUGCCUGCUUGGGCCUGGGCAGCUCCUGUGUCCCAAUCCCUCUGCUGCCAGCGCCUGCCAUUUGGCUGCAGCUCCUGAACUCAUGAAUGCCGCGUUUUGGUUUUGCUGCGAGAAGGAAAAAUAAAAGGGAGGGUGUGGGGAGGGACAGGGAGAGGGAGGAGGAGGGAAAAACCCUUUAGCUGCCUGUGCUGGCCAGUUCCAGGAAUGUGUGCUGGGACAUCGGUGCCAAAGCAGUGACCCGGGCGGCCGGGCCGGGCCGGGAGAAGAGGGAGGCUGGCUCCAGGGCGAGAGCUUGCCUCCUCCCACAGCUGCCGCUGCUGACUCAUCGCGGCUCCAGCUGGCAGAAGCCUUUUCUGGGGAUGGCUGUUGCUAAGAUUCCUCGGAGAUGACUGAUUGCUUCUCCUUGAGCUUGCUGAAAACAUGUUUGUAGACUGCACACAAACACGCAUACGCUCUUGUGGCUCGCACGCCUAGCCCGAUACCUGCACAUGUGUGUUUGUGUGCGUGUGCACGGAGCACCGACACAGGCGUCCUGUUCCUAUCACCUUCAUGACACUUAGGAACUAGUACAUGCACGUAUGUAUGGACCAGCACCUCCCCCGACCCCCCUAAAGGGGCCAAGAGAUGCCAGGUUGUCCCGGGCUGAGGACCUCAGGCAGAGGGGAGCUGCCAGUGUCUGGGCCCGCUUUCCCCCGGAGUUUUCAGGUUGCCUCGAUGCAUUCUUGGCCUGCGUUUCUCCUCUCCCCCGGUUUCCUUCAUUCUGCUAUUGUGAUCUAAUCUUCCCUUCUCCCUUGGCCUGCCAGAUUUUUGAUGUCUGCUGCUCCAGGCACUCAGCUGGGAGCUAGAAUCGUUUAGAGCUGGAUUCCUGGCCUGGAUCGGAUGCCCCCAGGGCACUCCCAGGGAGCCUCAGUGCCUCCGUUUUCCCUUGAGAGAAGGAACUGCUGUGAGGGCAGAUGGAAAAUGCUGGGCCAUUCUCGGGCUCUGCUGCUGCCAGGAUUCAGGAAGUGUCUGUUUCUCCUCUGUGCUGGGCCCAGAGCCUUGGUUGGGGGUGAGCCUGAGUGCUCAGUGCUCAGCAGGCAGCCCUGGAUGCAGCCUCCACGGCCUGGUUGCCAGUGCUGUGUGUGACCUUGGUCACAUUGGACUCUUGCUGCCUUGGUUUCCCCACCUGCUGGGCUGAAAUUAGACUCCUUGCUGAGUCCGCCAGGAUUUUGAUGCGACAGGGCUUGGCAGGCACUUGGGCACCAGGCAAGGUUGUUUGUCAUGGGUUCUUGAGGAGGUGGAGGGGCAGGCGGGGCCAGCGCCAGCACGGGGCCCACACUACUCCUCUUACCAGCUCUGCUGGCUCAGCCUCGAGUGUGGCUGCUUUAGAGGGACCCACCUCGGGGGAUCCCAGAAGGGCUCUCGGCUGUGAUUCAAUGACUGUUGCUAAGGAAGGCUUGGUACCUGGCCUCGCGGGAUGAGCUGGAUGCAGCAGGCUCGGCAAGGCUCCUAUCAGCUACAAGAAAAACAUCUGUCUGUGCUCAGGGUCCUCAUUCCUAAAAUAAAGACAAGCUCGGCUCCAUG
Molecule: long non-coding RNA, 2272 nt
Organism: Pteropus alecto (black flying fox)
Lineage: Eukaryota; Metazoa; Chordata; Mammalia; Chiroptera; Pteropodidae
Exons: 2
Source: RefSeq, a predicted model, not a curated record